AAUCAAGCGUCUUAAGGGCAUUUGGUGGAUGCCUUGGUGUUGAGAGGCGAUGAAGGACGUAACACGCUGCGAUAAGCUGUGGGGAGCCGCGAGUAGGCUUUGAUCCGCAGAUUUCCGAAUGGGGAAACCCGACCAUUUAGGUCAUCCCGCAAGGGAAGCGAACCCGGUGAACUGAAAUAUCUAAGUAACCGGAGGAAAGGACAUCAACCGAGACUCUGUGAGUAGUGACGAGCGAAAGCGGACCAGGCCAGUGGCCAUUUAGAGGAUAACCAGAAGCGUCUGGAAAGGCGCGCCAGAGUGGGUGAUAGCCCCGUAUGGGUAGUGCUUCUUUAUGGUCCUUGAGUAGGGCGGGACACGAGAAAUCCUGUUUGAACAUGGGGGGACCACCCUCCAAGCCUAAGUACUCCUCAACAACCGAUAGCGAACAAGUACCGUGAGGGAAAGGUGAAAAGCACCCCGAUAAGGGGAGUGAAAGAGACCUGAAACCGAAUGCCUACAAACAGUCGGAGCCGCAUAGGCGGUGACGGCGUACCUUUUGUAUAAUGGGUCAGCGAGUUACUUUGACAAGCAAGCCUAAGCCGAUAGGCGUAAGCGCAGCGAAAGCGAGUCUGAAUAGGGCGAAUUAGUUUGUUUGAGUAGACCCGAAACCGGGUGAUCUAGCCAUGGGCAGGUUGAAGAUGCGGUAACACGCAUUGGAGGACCGAACCCACGCCUGUUGAAAUAGGCGGGGAUGACCUGUGGCUAGGGGUGAAAGGCCAAUCAAACCCGGAGAUAGCUGGUUCUUUGCGAAAACUAUUUAGGUAGUGCGUCAGUUAUAACUGUCGGGGGUAGAGCACUGGAUGGGCUAGGGGGGCGCGAGCCUUACCAAACCUAACCAAACUCCGAAUACCGACAAGUUGAGACUGGCAGACAGUCCAUGGGUGCUAAGGUCCGUGGACGAGAGGGAAACAGCCCAGACCACCAGCUAAGGUCCCCAAAUUAUGGCUAAGUGGGAAAGGAUGUGGGAAGGCCAUGACAGCCAGGAGGUUGGCUUAGAAGCAGCCAUCCUUUAAAGAAAGCGUAACAGCUCACUGGUCUAGAUAAGCCGGCCUGCGCCGAAGAUGUAACGGGGCUAAAGCCAUAUACCGAAGCUGUGGAUGCAACGUAAGUUGCGUGGUAGCAAAGCGUUCCGUAAGUCUGUGAAGCCUAUACCGUGAGGAUAGGUGGAGAUAUCGGAAGUGAGAAUGCUGACAUGAGUAGCGAUAAACAGUGUGAGAGACACUGUCGCCGAAAGCCCAAGGGUUCCUGCUUAAAGCUAAUCUGAGCAGGGUUAGUCGGCCCCUAAGACGAGGGCGAAAGCCGUAGUCGAUGGGAACACGGUUAAUAUUCCGUGACCUGAUGGUUGUGACGGAUGGCUAGCAUUGUACACACUUAACGGAUUGUGUGUGCAUCAAGGCCGUUCCAGGAAAUAGCACCAUCAUUAAGACCGUACCCCAAACCGACACAGGUGGGCAGGUAGAGCAUACUAAGGCGCUUGAGAGAACGAUGUUGAAGGAACUCGGCAAAUUGCCCCCGUAACUUCGGGAGAAGGGGGGCCUGUAUUUGGGCAACCAGAUACAGGUGGCACAGAAUAGGGGGUGGCGACUGUUUAUUAAAAACACAGGGCUCUGCGAAGUAGUAUAUACGACGUAUAGGGUCUGACGCCUGCCCGGUGCUGGAAGGUUAAGAGGAGGUGUGAGAGCUCCGAAUUGAAGCCCCAGUAAACGGCGGCCGUAACUAUAACGGUCCUAAGGUAGCGAAAUUCCUUGUCGGGUAAGUUCCGACCUGCACGAAUGGCGUAACGACUUCCCCGCUGUCUCCAACAUCGACUCAGCGAAAUUGAAUUCCCCGUGAAGAUGCGGGGUUCCCGCGGUCAGACGGAAAGACCCCGUGCACCUUUACUACAACUUUACAGUGGCAUCAGAGUGGAGAUGUGCAGGAUAGGUGGGAGCCUUUGAAGUAGUGGCGCCAGCUGCUAUGGAGGUACCCUUGAGAUACCACCCUUCUGCACUUUGGUGUCUAACCGCGGCCAGUGAAGCCUGGUCCGGGACCCUGUAUGGUGGGUAGUUUGACUGGGGCGGUCGCCUCCUAAAGAGUAACGGAGGCGCGCGAUGGUAGGCUCAAGCCGGUCGGACAUCGGCUGUUGAGUGCAAUGGCAUAAGCCUGCCUGACUGUGAGACUGACAAGUCGAACAGAGACGAAAGUCGGUCAUAGUGAUCCGGUGGUUCUGAGUGGAAGGGCCAUCGCUCAACGGAUAAAAGGUACGCCGGGGAUAACAGGCUGAUACCCCCCAAGAGUUCACAUCGACGGGGGUGUUUGGCACCUCGAUGUCGGCUCAUCACAUCCUGGGGCUGGAGCAGGUCCCAAGGGUUCGGCUGUUCGCCGAUUAAAGUGGUACGUGAGCUGGGUUUAGAACGUCGUGAGACAGUUCGGUCCCUAUCUGCCGUGGGUGUUCGAUUCUUGAGAGGAGCUGUCCCUAGUACGAGAGGACCGGGAUGGACGCACCUCUGGUGUACCGGUUGUCGCGCCAGCGGCACCGCCGGGUAGCUAAGUGCGGAAGGGAUAACUGCUGAAAGCAUCUAAGCGGGAAGCCCCCCUCGAAACCAGGAAUCGCUUGAGAGGCGUGGGAGACCACCACGUUGAUAGGUCCGGUGUGGAAGCACAGUAAUGUGUGAAGCUAACGGAUACUAAUUCCUCGAUAGGCUUGAUUAG
Molecule: ribosomal RNA, 2730 nt
Filed under: Alphaproteobacteria bacterium
Lineage: Bacteria; Pseudomonadati; Pseudomonadota; Alphaproteobacteria
Description: 23S ribosomal RNA
Rfam family: Bacterial large subunit ribosomal RNA
Source: RNAcentral